RNAcentral lists this ribosomal RNA (1411 nucleotides) under uncultured bacterium. RNAcentral's name for it is "bacterial SSU rRNA". It matches the Rfam family "Bacterial small subunit ribosomal RNA". The record is from RNAcentral.
AGAGUUUGAUCCUGGCUCAGGAUGAACGCUGGCGGCGUGCUUAACACAUGCAAGUCGAACGGGGUACCCCCAAAGGAGUUUUCGGACAACUGCGGGGAAUACCUAGUGGCGGACGGGUGAGUAACGCGUGAGUAACCUGCCUUGGAGUGGGGAAUAACAGUUGGAAACAGCUGCUAAUACCGCAUGAUGCAGUUGAGUCGCAUGGCUCUGACUGCCAAAGAUUUAUCGCUCUGAGAUGGACUCGCGUCUGAUUAGCUGGUUGGCGGGGUAACGGCCCACCAAGGCGACGAUCAGUAGCCGGACUGAGAGGUUGGCCGGCCACAUUGGGACUGAGACACGGCCCAGACUCCUACGGGAGGCAGCAGUGGGGAAUAUUGGGCAAUGGGCGCAAGCCUGACCCAGCAACGCCGCGUGAAGGAAGAAGGCUUUCGGGUCGUAAAGCUCUGUUGCGGGGGAAAAAAGGCAGCAUCAGGAAAUGGGUGCUGACUGAUGGUGCCCCGCCAGAAAGUCACGGCUAACUACGUGCCAGCAGCCGCGGUAAUACGUAGGUGGCGAGCGUUAUCCGGAAUGAUUGGGCGUAAAGGGUGCGCAGGCGGUCCUGCAAGUCUGGAGUGAAACGCAUGAGCUCAACUCAUGCAUGGCUUUGGAAACUGGAGGACUGGAGAGCAGGAGAGGGCGGUGGAACUCCAUGUGUAGCGGUAAAAUGCGUAGAUAUAUGGAAGAACACCAGUGGCGAAGGCGGCCGCCUGGCCUGUUGCUGACGCUGAGGCACGAAAGCGUGGGGAGCAAAUAGGAUUAGAUACCCUAGUAGUCCACGCCGUAAACGAUGAGGACCAAGUGUUGGGGGUGAAACCUCAGUGCUGAAGUUAACGCAGUGAGUCCUCCGCCUGGGGAGUAUGCACGCAAGUGUGAAACUCAAAGGAAUUGACGGGGGCCCGCACAAGCGGUGGAGUAUGUGGUUUAAUUCGAAGCAACGCGAAGAACCUUACCAGGCCUUGACAUGGGAUGCGAAGAUGCAGAGAUGCAUCGGAGGUCAACAUCCACACAGGUGGUGCAUGGUUGUCGUCAGCUCGUGUCGUGAGAUGUUGGGUCAAGUCCCGCAACGAGCGCAACCCUUGUGGCAUGUUGCUAACAGGAAAAGCUGAGGACUCAUGCCAGACUGCCGGUGACAAACCGGAGGAAGGCGGGGAUGACGUCAAAUCAUCAUGCCCCUUAUGGCCUGGGCUACACACGUACUACAAUGGCGGCUACAAAGAGCAGCGAGACAGGGAUGUCGAGCGAAUCUCAUAAAAGCCGUCCCAGUUCGGAUUGGAGGCUGCAACCCGCCUCCAUGAAGUUGGAAUCGCUAGUAAUCGCGGAUCAGCAUGCCGCGGUGAAUACGUUCCCGGGCCUUGCACUCACCGCCCGUCAA